UUUUCUUUUCAUUUUUGUCCCUAGGUCCUGCCACAAGUUUGCAUGUUAUUUUUUCUUUAUCACUCAUCUUUGGAUAAUCUUGCUUUCCGUUCUUUUCCCAAUCAAAAGGUUAGUAUCAUGUCUUACCAUUUCUGUUGUAGCUUUCAGAUUUUUUUUUUUUUACUGAAAUUUCAAAAAUUGCAUUACCUUUGCUCAUAAUUACUAAGAUAUUGCGUAUAAAGUAAAUUAAUGUGUUUUUGUAGAUAUGAAGUAUUAAAAUUUAAAAAUUGGUGGUGGAAAUUGGUUUGUUCUACUUUAUUGCAUCUUAAGUAUUAGAAAUUAGAAGUUUAACCCUCCUUUUGUUCAAACUUUAAAAUAAUCGCACUAAUUUAGAGAUUUAUUCAUGACCGCUACCUUAAAGCUUUUCCUGCAUAUUUCAUGCUUCUGUUCUUCUCCAUUUUUUGUGUUAUGAAUUUAUUAGUUUGUUUUUCACCUAUUUUUUGAUCUCUUCAUUUUUUUUUCAGUAAAUGUAAUUUAGGUGAUUUCUUAUAUUUUAUUUCAUUCUAUUUACAGGAUUCUCAAUCAUUUUCUUAUUUCAACCAUCAAUUGCAGAUAAGGUUAUCUUAUUUUCGAGUAUCUGAAUCUGUUAAGAAGGUUUUAUGUGUUUUAUUGUAUAUCACAUUUACAUAGAUUCUAAAAAAGGUAGAUUUUUACAGGAAUUUUAUUUUAUUUUCGUAUUUCAAUAUUGCCGGUUAAUAAUAUCUAUUUGCUAAAA
Molecule: long non-coding RNA, 754 nt
Filed under: Gossypium raimondii (Peruvian cotton)
Lineage: Eukaryota; Viridiplantae; Streptophyta; Magnoliopsida; Malvales; Malvaceae
Description: long non-coding RNA (GRAI_LNC009336)
Source: RNAcentral